GAUAGUAUGGUGCAGUGGUAGCACAUCCGCGGUCUACGGCGCCUGUGUGAAGACUCCGGUUCGAACCCGGAUACUAUCG
Molecule: transfer RNA, 79 nt
Filed under: Exophiala xenobiotica
Lineage: Eukaryota; Fungi; Ascomycota; Eurotiomycetes; Chaetothyriales; Herpotrichiellaceae
Description: tRNA-Arg (ACG) (tRNA-Arg-ACG-2-1)
Rfam family: tRNA
About the family: Transfer RNA (tRNA) molecules are approximately 80 nucleotides in length. Their secondary structure includes four short double-helical elements and three loops (D, anti-codon, and T loops).
Source: RNAcentral